Molecule: ribosomal RNA, 255 nt
Filed under: uncultured bacterium
Lineage: Bacteria
Description: partial 16S ribosomal RNA
Rfam family: Bacterial small subunit ribosomal RNA
Source: RNAcentral
UACGUAGGGUGCAAGCGUUGUCCGGAAUUAUUGGGCGUAAAGAGCUCGUAGGCGGUUCGUCGCGUCGGCUGUGAAAACCUGAGGCUCAACCUCAGGCCUGCAGUCGAUACGGGCGGACUUGAGUACUGCAGGGGAGACUGGAAUUCCUGGUGUAGCGGUGAAAUGACGCAGAUAUCAGGAGGAACACCGGUGGCGAAGGCGGGUCUCUGGGCAGUAACUGACGCUGGAGGAGCGAAAGCGUGGGGAGCGAACAGG